RNAcentral lists this ribosomal RNA (253 nucleotides) under uncultured bacterium. RNAcentral's name for it is "partial 16S ribosomal RNA". It matches the Rfam family "Bacterial small subunit ribosomal RNA", at positions 524 to 776 of the family's 1533-position model. The record is from RNAcentral.
UACGUAGGGUGCGAGCGUUAAUCGGAAUUACUGGGCGUAAAGCGUGCGCAGGCGGUUUCUUAAGCCAGAUGUGAAAGCCCCGGGCUUAACCUGGGAAUUGCGUUUGGAACUGGGAGACUAGAGUGUGGCAGAGGGAGGUAGAAUUCCACGUGUAGCAGUGAAAUGCGUAGAGAUGUGGAGGAAUACCGAUGGCGAAGGCAGCCUCCUGGGCCAACACUGACGCUCAUGCACGAAAGCGUGGGGAGCAAACAGG